Molecule: ribosomal RNA, 245 nt
Filed under: uncultured Salinisphaera sp.
Lineage: Bacteria; Pseudomonadati; Pseudomonadota; Gammaproteobacteria; Salinisphaerales; Salinisphaeraceae
Description: partial 16S ribosomal RNA
Rfam family: Bacterial small subunit ribosomal RNA
Source: RNAcentral
UACGGAAGGUGCAAGCGUUAAUCGGAAUUACUGGGCGUAAAGCGUGCGCAGGCGGUUACGUGUGUCGGAUGUGAAAGCCCCGGGCUCAACCUGGGAAUUGCAUUCGAAACUGCGUGACUAGAGUGUGGUAGAGGAAGAUGGAAUUCCACGUGUAGCGGUGAAAUGCGUAGAUAUGUGGAGGAACACCAAUGGCGAAGGCAGUCUUCUGGGCCUACACUGACGCUGAGGUACGAAAGCGUGGGGAG